Molecule: long non-coding RNA, 2711 nt
Organism: Cavia porcellus (domestic guinea pig)
Lineage: Eukaryota; Metazoa; Chordata; Mammalia; Rodentia; Caviidae
Exons: 2
Source: RefSeq, a predicted model, not a curated record
GAGACAAUAAGGCGGCAGCCCCGGGAUAGAGCCCAAAGCCUCGAGCUUUGCUGAAUCGGAUGGGGAAGGAACGGCGGGGCAAAACCACCUUUCCUCACUACACGUGUUUCACUGGCAUCAAUUUCACAGCUGCUUGAGGCCCAGCUUCUCCUCCUCAGCUCAGAGAACCCGAGUUGCAGCACAGGUUGAAACUGGCACCUGUCAAGGAGCAAUGUCAUCCUCUCGUUCUCCCUGGCACCUGGUGUUAAAAGAAGCCAGACAGGCGGGAGUCCACGGAAGGAUCUGAACAUGUCUGCCCUGUUGCUGAAACCCAAAUCCCUGAUGAUCAGGGACAAGCCACACGUCUUCGUGAAGCCAUGCCUUUUAAGACCCUAAAAGAGUUCAAACAAGCGACUGCUCCCUAUGGACCGCAGCCCCCUUUACCUUACGUUCAAUAGAACUUACAGCACAGCGGGUUAGGACCCCAAAGGGUUGGAAGAGAAUAAAGUGUGUUUAAGCAGGGGCGUUAUAUACUGUGGAAGGAAAAUGUUUUGAAUUGUGCAUGAAUCAGGCCAUUUGCAGUGCUGCUCACAACACAGCCAGUACAGAAGACAUGUUAGCCAGAGAAGGUGCUUUUGCUGUCACAAAUAAUCAAGUUACUUUUUGGUACUGGGAAUUGAACUCACGACCUUGUGCUUGCCAGGCAGGCACUUAUGCUGCCGAGCUAUAUCCACGGUCCUUAAAUGACUUUUAAGCUACAAAGAUAUGAACAAAUUAAAAUACCUGCCAUAAGGGCGGUAGGUAACUUCCUUCAAAGGAAGGAUCUGACCUCCAUUCUGGAGUCCCGAUGAAACUUCUCAGGAUUUUGUGGCACACCUACAGCAGGCUGGUGAGAGGAUUACCAACAGCUCUGAGGCUGACAAAGUAAUUGUUCAACUCUUGGCCUUUGAAAGUGCAAGCGUGUAAAGGGGGCUUUAGGAGUCGGGGAAAGUCAGUCGGGCAGCGCUGUCUGCGAUGACCCAGGUCUGUGCAGACGUGGGCCCCUCACAGGGGCCCUAGCAGAGCUGGCACUCGGGCUGUUCGUCCAUGGCCCAGAGGAAAGGGAGGGGACAAGGUUGCUUCUGUCAGCUGUGGGACUGGGGGACAUUUUUCCCAAAAUUGCUCUGCUGCAACCAGGCAGGACAACACAGCCACUAUCCAUCCCUUCAGGAACCCUUCUAGGAGCUGUACAAUGCAUAGACGAGGUAAAUCGGGCAAGAGAUGCAGUUCAAAAUGGAUGUGGACGGCUGGCCCAUUCCAGGAAACUCCCAGUAGGGCUGCUGUGCCCCCACCAAACAGUGGGGCGCUUUCCCUAACGCCUCACCAGCCCCACCCUCCACCGCCAGCACAUUUCUGAGCCCUGGCAAGUGAUAAAAGACAGCAGAGGCUUAGACCUCAUCCCCGCUCCAGAUUCAUACCAACUCUGCAUUGGGACCCCAGGCUGCUCCUCCUGGAGUCUGUGGACCUUUCCCUCAGGGAACAGUGGGGCUCCGGCUAGGCCACAGUGGUUUUACUUUAAAGGCCUCCAGUUUUGCCUGGUGUCCCUGAUGCUGAUUAUACAGAAUACAGGUUAGGGAUCGAGCUGUCCAACACUGCAGUCACCCCAGUAUCUCAUAUUGCUCAACUGGUCAUUCUUCUUUUGACAAAAAUGUAAAAUCUAUAAAUAAGGACAGGGGAUCCAAGGGCUUUGGGUCUUUGGAUGCUUAUUGGGUUCAACAGAUUAAACAGGAUCAUCCCAAGGUGGAACUGAUUAUUGAAGGAAAAUCGUUUAAAGGCUUGAGACAGGCACAGAGGGUCCAGUCACUGCCUAAGGCCAGUGGCCCACAGCAUGGCCCCUGGAGGUGGCAACUACAAAUCUACAGGGGGCGGGCAGUGUUUCUCAGCCUAGCAGAAGUGCUAGAUUGUUAACCCCAGGGAUGCAGAAGGUCAUUCUGGACAUUUUUUGCCUUAUGUCCUCCUGUACGUAUACAGGUACUUAUAAGUAUACUGGUCACUCUAUGGGGUCGUGACGUAUCACAGGGUAUAGUUGUACUCUUUGGUGACCCAUCAGAUGCUACAGCUAGGUUUCCUUCCCACCCAAGAGCUUGGUGAAACCAAGCAGGGAAGCAGAGGACCUCUUCCAGUUCUCACUUAGCAGUAUAUGCUAUUAACUUUUUAAAUCUUGCUGGGGAUGGGGCUACAGCAGCUGAAAGACAAUUCGAUCAGGUAAAGGAAAUAAGUAAGAAGUGUCCUUCAGAAAGACCUUUCCUGAGGGACAAUGGAAGGGACCUAGCCAGUGCUAAUUUUUGGGUGGAGGCUUUGCUUGUGUCUUUCCAGAAAACGCUGUGUGGCCUGGGUGCAGAGUGUGCUGUCCAACUGCGUCGUGGGCCCAGACCCAGAGAAAGAGUGGGUCCCUCCUGCUGUCGAGAAGCUGAUGCUCCGUCCCAUGGCGGUGAUGCCUUGGGGACUGUGCCACAGCUGAUAGACAAAGAUGGAACCAGACCUGACCCGGGACCAGUUAAAGAAACUGACCCAAGAUGCCCAGGAGAUGUAGUCAGAAAUGGGAAAAGAGGAUCUGAGUGGGUGACAGAGUGCAGAGAGACAGCUGAGCUGGAGGAUGCAUAAAAAAGGGACAUGAAAAUUGCCAGUAUUAAGACAAAUUAAGAUAUAAAAUUGUAUAUUAUUUACAGAUAAAAGGUUUUGUUACUUCCAAA